Molecule: long non-coding RNA, 2789 nt
Organism: Helianthus annuus (common sunflower)
Lineage: Eukaryota; Viridiplantae; Streptophyta; Magnoliopsida; Asterales; Asteraceae
Exons: 5
Source: RefSeq, a predicted model, not a curated record
UUGACGAGAUCAGUGAGUUAACCCUGCCCGGUUAUCCAUUGUUUCAUCAACUAUGUUCGCUAGUUUUCAUCAGUUCCUUGGAUCAACAGUAGAUGAUUCAAUCUUUGACCAAGCCCGUAGGCUUGUUAGCAUCCAAAUAUCUCCUGAAGCACCUACCCCGGUGAAUGUUGAACAUGAGCCAUCUUCGUUCUCUUUCAGUACCCCUUCAAACCCAGUGACUCAAAUCAAGGAAAACGAGCGUAGCCAGCAAUGCGAAGAGGAAUGCCCUUCGUUGUUCACCCCCAACGGCACGCAUUACUGGAUGCCGUAUUGCUCACCCCACCUUAGGCCACAACUGACUGCCGUGUUCUAGAAAUGGCAUGACGUAGUUGAGAUGUAUGAUAAGUAUGCUAAGAAGUUCGGGUUUUCGAUUAGGAUCGGUUCCGUUAAGAGGAAGCAUGGAGCCAUCACGCAUCGUUACCUUUUGUGCGUGAACCAUGGAAAACCCCAACUGAAAAGGAAGUUUGACGCGUUGGAUGACACUUCUUUAAAGAUUAGGCAGUCCACGUUCCGUGUUUGCGAUUGCAAAGCUUGUAUCCGUGUCAAGUUUCUUCAGCCCUUGCAAACAUGGGUGUUGUACCACUUUGAAGAGCAUCACAAUCAUCCGAUGGUUCCCUGCUAUAAUAGAGAUAUCACAAAAAAGGACGGAGACUAGACUUCAUCCACCGUGUUAGUCUUAACAAGGUGGGACCAUCGGUGGCCCACAAACUGCAAGUAAGUUUGAAGGGCGGUCAUCACAAUGUUAAGGGCACGGCAGGAGAUUACAAGAAUUUUUCGCGGAGUCUUCGCAUGUUUAUCGGCGACAGGGAUGCGCAACUAGUCAUUGACAAGAUGGCAUUUGCCUAAUUACACUUUCAAAUACAACGUGGAGAAUGGGGAGCUACGCCACAUGUUCUAGGCGGACGACAUUUCUAAGCUAAACUACCAAGCAUUUGGUGAUGUUAUUGCGUUCGUCGCCACAUACCGAACAAACACGUACAAUCUUAUUUUCGUCCCCUUUAUCGGAGUGGACAACAACAAAAGGUGCGUGACAUUUUGAGCGGGGCUUUUGUUUUGCGAGACCAUAGAGGCUUACACUUGGUUGCUUACGGCAUUCCUUGAAGUGCACCACAAUCAUCCUACUCUUGUCUUAACUGACCAAGACCCGGCUAUGGGCAAGCUGUCAGUGUUGUUUUCCCGGGUUCACUUCAUCGACUGUGCAUGUGUCACAUAACGAAGAAGCUGCCCUCAAAGAUUGCAGGUGAUGUCGAAGACAACACCGAAGUCAGAGCAGCCUUGCAUAAACUUGUGUGGAACAUUUACAUAAAACCUGAAACAUUCGAGCGUAGGUGGGCGAAGCUUUUAGAAAAGUACGGCCUAGAAAAUCACGAUUGGCUGAGAGAUAUGUUCAACAUUAAGGAGAUGUGGGUUCCAGCAUACUUCAGAUAAAUCUCGAUGUCAUGCCUCAUGAAAACUACUUCCCGCUGCGAGAGUUCUAACGCUAUGUUCAAGGUUAAUUCUUCCUGGGUGAAUACGUUAGUCCAGUUUCUGUUGUGUUACGAUGCAACUGUCGAAUCACAGGCAUACAAUCAGAGGGUUGCCGACCGUGUACACAAAUUGAAAAGGGGUCUGGAAAUAGAGAAGCAAUGCGCAAUGUUGUAUUCCCCCUAGCUUUCUCGUGGUCCGUAAGGAGAUAUACAAGGGAAUGACGUUCUGCUACAUCACAACAGUUGAAGAAGAUGAUGCCAUCAAGACCUACACUGUAACCCACCUGGAUAAGCUGACCGAAGUCGUGAACAAUUUUACGUCACACGCAGGUGGAUGAAGUACCGACGAAGUACAUGGUCAUUCGUUGGGGCCGUCAUGUGCUUCCAAAAUCAGUUUUCUGUGUUGAACACAGGUUUGGGGUCGAUCUGUCCCCCCUCGUAGUGAGUAGGAACAAGCUGGUUGAAUGUUUCACCACGGCACUGGAUGAGAUGUUGGGCGACUGAUGGAGGUUUUUUUUGGAGAAACCCUAGGCACUAAAGAAAGAAAUCAUAGAUGAUUGUCAGGCCAGAGUGACUGUGGACAGGACGGACACCGAAGACAUAGCUAGUAUGUUGGGAGGUGUCGUCGAAGUUGACGUUUCUUGCUCGAACCCCCGAGGCGUGCCUAAUAAAGGAUGUGGGACCAACAAGUGUCUCAUUGGACCAGGAGAGAAGGCUGUCCAGAAUAAAAAGAAGCACCCCUGACUCUGCAACACUUGCUACCAGUAUGUAACUGGUCACGACUCGCGAAACUGUCCGCAAAAGUAGAAGCAAGCAGAACCUUAGUGCGGGGUUGAUCUGUGUUGGGGGUCGUGGGUUGUUUUUUGUGAGUGCAUAUGUCUAUCGCUUCCGUCAAUCACGUAUCAUAGCAAACAGAUGAGACAAGACAAGGUUAAGAAGUGUUUAAACAUUUACAAGCUAAUCCGCACGAACCCAUGCAUGCUUGGUCCGCACGGAUGGACAUGCAUGUUAAUCCGCACGAAUGUGAGUGAAACUAGGGUUUGUGGCAUUUGUUGAUCCGCGCAAUCCAGUUCUGCACCUAGCUAGUCCAUCCGCAUAUAGUUGUUGAUUCGCGCAUAAUGUUCAUCCGUGAUUAUAUGUUUGGUGCGGAUCAAGGGUCUCUAUAUAUAGAAGUGUUACGUCUUGUUCAUUGGUACAACUUUGGACUUUGAGUAGAGAAGCUCUAUCCAAUUGAUUUCUUGGUUGUGUACUUUCAAAUCGUUAAUAGAAAUCAGUUUAUAAUUA